This 464-nucleotide ribosomal RNA is filed under the name uncultured bacterium. RNAcentral's name for it is "SSU rRNA". It matches the Rfam family "Bacterial small subunit ribosomal RNA", at positions 26 to 518 of the family's 1533-position model. The record is from RNAcentral.
AGAGCGAACGCUGGCGGCAGGCUUAACACAUGCAAGUCGAACGGGCAUAGCAAUAUGUCAGUGGCAGACGGGUGAGUAACGCGUGGGAACAUACCUUUUGGUUCGGAACAACACAGGGAAACUUGUGCUAAUACCGAAUAAGCCCUUACGGGGAAAGAUUUAUCGCCGAAAGAUUGGCCCGCGUCUGAUUAGCUAGUUGGUAAGGUAACGGCUUACCAAGGCGACGAUCCAUAGCGGGUCUGAGAGGAUGAUCCGCCACACUGGCACUGAGACACGGGCCAGACUCCUACGGGAGGCAGCAGUGAGGAAUAUUGCGCAAUGGACGAAAGUCUGGCGCAGCCACGCCGCGUGCAGGAAGACACCCCUCAGGGGCGUAAACUGCUUUUGACGAGAAGAACACCCCAUUCUGUGGGUCUGACGGUAUCGUACGAAUAAGGACCGGCUAACUCCGUGCCAGCAGCCGC